GGCGCCUUGGUCAAGCGGUUAAGACAGCACCCUUUCACGGUGGUAUCACGGGUUCGAUUCCCGUAGGCGUCACCA
RNAcentral lists this transfer RNA (75 nucleotides) under Christensenellaceae bacterium. Its description in RNAcentral is "tRNA-Glu". It matches the Rfam family "tRNA". Rfam says of the family: Transfer RNA (tRNA) molecules are approximately 80 nucleotides in length. Their secondary structure includes four short double-helical elements and three loops (D, anti-codon, and T loops). Further hydrogen bonds mediate the characteristic L-shaped molecular structure. tRNAs have two regions of fundamental functional importance: the anti-codon, which is responsible for specific mRNA codon recognition, and the 3' end, to which the tRNAs corresponding amino acid is attached (by aminoacyl-tRNA synthetases). tRNAs cope with the degeneracy of the genetic code in two manners: having more than one tRNA (with a specific anti-codon) for a particular amino acid; and 'wobble' base-pairing, i.e. permitting non-standard base-pairing at the 3rd anti-codon position. Lineage: Bacteria; Bacillati; Bacillota; Clostridia; Christensenellales; Christensenellaceae. The record is from RNAcentral.